RNAcentral lists this ribosomal RNA (460 nucleotides) under uncultured bacterium. Its description in RNAcentral is "partial 16S ribosomal RNA". It matches the Rfam family "Bacterial small subunit ribosomal RNA", at positions 338 to 795 of the family's 1533-position model. The record is from RNAcentral.
CCUACGGGUGGCAGCAGUGAGGAAUAUUGGUCAAUGGACGAGACUCUGAACCAGCCAAGUAGCGUGAAUGAUGACUGCCCUCUGGGUUGUAAACUUCUUUUAUAUGGGAAUAAAAUGUUCCACGUGUGGGAUUUUGUAUGUACCAUAUGAAUAAGGAUCGGCUAACCCCGUGCCAGCAGCCGCGGUAAUACGGAGGAUCCGAGCGUUAUCCGGAUUUAUUGGGUUUAAAGGGAGCGUAGGUGGAUUGUUAAGUCAGAUGUGAAAGUUUGCGGCUCAACCGUAAAAUUGCAGUUGAAACUGGCAGUCUGGAGUACAGGAGAGGUGGGCGGAAUUCGUGGUGUAGCGGUGAAAUGCUUAGAUAUUACGAAGAACUCCGAUGGCGAAGGCAGCUCACUGGACUGCAACUGACACUGAGGCUCGAAAGUGUGGGUAUCAAACAGGAUUAGAUACCCUUGUAGUC